Molecule: small nuclear RNA, 94 nt
Filed under: Jaculus jaculus (lesser Egyptian jerboa)
Lineage: Eukaryota; Metazoa; Chordata; Mammalia; Rodentia; Dipodidae
Source: RNAcentral
GUGCUCGCUUUGGCAGCACAUUUACUAAAAUUGGAACAAUACAGAGAAGAUUAGCAUGGUCCUGCAUAAAGCAUUCCAUUUUUUUCAUUCUUUU